CUUUCCACCAUGAUGUUCCUGCCUUGGAGCCAGCUGACCAUGGACUGAAUCCCCAAAAGCUGUGAACCAAAUUAAACUUCUCCUCCUCUGAGGCUGCCUGUGUUGAGAAGUGACAGCCACGGGAGCUGGAGGGGACACUGGUGACUGCCGAGUGGGGGAAGAGCGCGGUUUGUACACUGUCAGAAAGGAUGAGGCCGGUGGCAAAGCAGCUCUUGGAGCCCAGGAAGACAGAGAAGAGCUGGGCAUGGUGGCACACACCUAUGAUCCCAGCACUCUGGAGGCUGAGGCAGGAGGAUCACUGCAAGUUGGAGGCCAGGCUGGGCUCCAGAGAUGGUGCCGAGGAAACCUGAAAACCAUCCCAGGAAGGGGGAGCCGGAGGAGGUCCCGAGGGAAGGCCUCGCUGGGUGCCGGUAACAGGGACUAUCACAGGCCACCCACAGACAAAGUCCUUCCACAGGUCACAGGAGCCACAACUGCCCAGCCCAACCCUGGGGAUCCAUCCUGUGGCCAAGGAGUACUGGUUCAAAACCACCUGUGUAACCCUGUUUCUUUUGUCUCUCUUUGCCUCCUGAGUGUACUGUAACCUGGCACAGCACACACAGCCCCACUGCUACGAAACCCCCAGUACACUCAAGACGUUCGAAGGCUGUUAUUUAGGUUGUGGCACAAGCAGGUGUUGGACCACAGUCAUCGGGCCUUUUGCUUUCUAAGAAACUCCCAAACCGACGUCCAGAGUGCCUGUGCCUUUCACCUCCCACCAGCAAAGCCCAUCCUUUUGAGUACCUGGGAGUCACCUCUGUGCUUCAGCCAGUGCUGCACGUGUAGCAAUGCCACAGUGUGCCUGCCGCGACAGGGUCCGUGACAGCUGGACGGGGACAUCCUCUCUGGAUACAGGUCACCCCUGUCCACUUUCUAAUCAGAUUGCUUGGGCGGUUUUCCUUGUUUUUACUGUUAUGCUCUUUGUAUGAUCUGUAGUCCUCUGUUGAAUGGAGGCUUUGCAAAUACUUCCCAGUCUGGAGAUUGUCUUUUCAUCGUCUGGUUACCUGAGGGUGUGUGUGUGUGUGUGUGUGUGUGUGUGUGUGUGUGUAUUCAGUGCUGGGGAUGGAACUCAGGUACUCAUGCAUGCUAAGCUUGUGCUCCUACACCCCAGCCCUCUCUAUAUCCUCUAACCAGCAUUUUCACAGAGAAAAC
Molecule: long non-coding RNA, 1191 nt
Organism: Heterocephalus glaber (naked mole-rat)
Lineage: Eukaryota; Metazoa; Chordata; Mammalia; Rodentia; Bathyergidae
Source: Ensembl